Dromaius novaehollandiae (emu) is the source of this 7127-nucleotide long non-coding RNA. RefSeq lists it as uncharacterized. NCBI's taxonomy places the organism in Eukaryota, Metazoa, Chordata, Aves, Casuariiformes, Dromaiidae. The transcript is spliced from 4 exons. The record is from RefSeq and is a predicted model, not a curated record.
GGCAAAUGGCGGCGGGGGUAAAUGGCGGCUGUGAGGCUCUUUGCCGUGCUGAGAGCUGCCGCUGCCGCCGCCCCCCCUCAGGCUCGGCCUUGUAACCCCAGCGUGGGGACUGUCCUCACCCCGUCCUGCCUCCCUGCUCACCCCCGAGGCGCUCGGGGCUCCCCAAUCAUGUGGGCCUCGAGUGCUCCCGGCCGUCGCCUGGAUCAUGGCGGUGCCCCUCUCUACUGCAUGCUCAGCCUCAAACACAGGGUGCCCCGGGGCCGCAGACCCUCCGGGGCCCGGCUCCCUUGCGGCGUGGCAAUCCCACUAAGUACAUCGUCCUCUUUUUAACGCGUUUGCGGGUGCUGUCAGCGUGGGGCCCGGCCGUUCCCCGUUGCCUUGCACCGGGCGCGCGCGCCUCACCGGUGGCGGUUUGCAGAGGGACGCGACGCCUUGCUGGAGGUUUGCUGCCGGCACGACCCAGCAAGAGGUCGGCGGGCGCCGGAGCGAGCCCUCGCGCCGCUCCGUGCCUCGGUUUCCCCAUCAGAAACGACAGCCCGCCCGGAGGAACCAGUGACGUUUUGGGCGCGAAGGACGAGCUUGGGAGCGGCAGGAGGAAGCGAUGGAGUGCUGAUCAGCCAUUCACUGAAAUCCAGGAGUCUGCACAGAAAUCCUCCUCGCACUGCUCUUCCCAGCCUCUCGUCAUUCCAAUUAGGAGCGUGUUUAAGAUAUUUCAAUAAUCUCCCAUUCAGCUACAUGUAUGAGAAAAUGCAUUCACUCAGCACAAUAAUGCAAUUGUCCCUUUCCUGUGAGAUGGCAAAAGACAGACAGAUCGGGCAGGGGAAAACAAAAAAUCGAGUAGCAAACAUGCCCGAAAGAGCCCCUCUGCGUCCGCCGACCUCCGAGGACAGAGCUAACAAAGCAGGCUGUGUGGGACGCGAAACCGCAUCACUUCACCAGCGAGAGAAAUAUGUAGAUUUGGGUUAACUCCUUUUCAAAUUGGCAAAGAAAACAGAGCCGGAGUGGACUCAUUUUCUUCUGACUUUCCCUAGUGUAAAUCAGGAGCAACCACGCUCGGACAACUCAUUUCAGUGCAGUCCCCAUCCUCCUCAUCACUGGGGGAGAGCGGAAGUUUCCUGGCUGACGCUGGGGACGCCAACGGGGUGAUGUCGGCUGGCAGCCCGGCAGCGUGGCACGACAAGUAUCACGAGGAGAAGGUGGCUCUGCAACUCAAAGAAGCUGGUGUAUGAUAUGACAACUGCCAGAAGGUGACAUAAAAUUGAAGACAACCAGGGUGAAGAAGAGAAAACCUAGUUCUUCUAUGGAGGUCAGCAACUUUGCAGGAAAGAAAGAGAAAUAGCUGCCUGCUAGCGCUCCUGAGCAGUGCCUGCGAGGGCACCGCUGGUGCUUGCUGCUGGCCCAGGGAGCCCCCAGCACUGCGCAGUUUCUCUCCUCUGCCCUUCCAGAGGUUCCCUCUGCUCCAGGCCCAAAAAGCAGAAGACCCUACGGCUUGUUCAUGUGUGGGGGCUUUGGGAAACUUACGGGAAGGGAGUUUGUGUUGUGUAGACAUCAGGGAGUUCCUCUCCUGUGCAUCUGGCAGAAGCCCCAGCAAUGACAGGUUUAAGCCAGGUUUUAUUCAGGUAUCUCCAUGGCAAUGAGUGAGGUCUUCCGCCGACAAACCAGUUACCAGUGUGGCCAAGGCUGUGAAACAGGCACUUGGCUAAGAGCUUUGCCUCAGUAAGGACCUUGGGAUUUGACCUUUAAUUUUGAAUGUGUGACUGUAUAAACAAGCCAUCACAUUUUGUCUGCAGCGUGCUUGUCACAAAAAUCACUCACACGAGAAGGACCUGGAGGUAUGCAGCAGGCAGAGACCAUUCUUGUAACACUGCAGCUUGGCAGUUGCCCUGGGGACAUGGGACUUCCUGACCCUGCCGCAGCGGUGGAGAAGUGAGAACCCUUCUGGGAGGGAAAGGGUUGAAAAGACCUCUCUGUCCCGCCGGGAGCUGGGCACCCGGGGCCGCCCGCCAUCGCUCCACUGGAGAGUCUUCGCCUGGGAUCUCCACGGGUUGGGGCUCUUGGAAAAACGCUCGGGAGACAAAUGUUGCUGCUGUUUAAGAAAGGGAUAUUAUUGCUUCUGGAGUGCAAUGCUAGUGCUGCCUUAGGUAAGAGCAGCUAUUGGUGUUCUGCCUAAUGCAAAUAGAUCUAUGGAGGCUUCUUACGAGUGAAAAGGCUGUUAGGAUUGGACAUUGCAUUGCUCUAGCACUGGAUCCCAAGGGGUUUGGUAUCCGUCGUCCACCGCUUAAAUACAGCAGCACCUUCAGGAGGAGGCAGCAAUUACUAAAUGAAUGCAGAGUAGCAUUUACAAUAUAUACAAGGCUGUUACCUCAGAUAUUAUUUACUGGAGGGUAUUGAUUUCCCCAUCUCUAGCAUGCUAGUUCCCAGGAAAGAAAGAGUUAAAAUCGUAACUGCAGCUCUCUGCACCUUGUUGUUGGGUCAGCAGUUUGCCUGAUAAAGGAGCCCUGACCUCCUCACCUGUAGAGGAAAGUCCAAAGAUACCUUCAGAAAUUAUCGGGACUGUUUGCCAGAAAGCAGAAGUGCAGGAAUCCACACAGGGAAGCAGCCUGGGGCAUGCAGGGCCAAAAAGACACUGUAACAUGGCGGAGGCCUCCGACUAUGAAAAAGAGUGUCUAGAUCUUGACUCAUAACUUUGCAAUGACCCUCAACCAUACGGUUGACUGGAAAGCCUCAAUACAUUUAGCAAAGGCAGAGGAGAACAUGGAUCUGAAACCCCAGCCACAAGAUGCCUCCUUUGAGUGCUCUGGACCAAAUCUUGCCGAAUCUAAGAUUUAGUGCCAUAGCUGCAAUGCUUCCUGCAGUCCCUCUGAUGGCAGAAAAAAUGACUUGCGUAUUACCUUUACUGUUAAAGGCUGGAUUUCCCAUGCAGGGUAAGUCCUCAUGCAAAAGCACAGAAAAUGUUUUAAAGAGGGAGCAGAAUGUGCUCAGAUUGUGAAGCAGCUGAUCUAAAGGCAGUGAGACCCUUAGGGAACCCUGGUCCACAAUAGUCGACAUUUGAGACAGGAAAUGAUGGUUUAUUUAACUAACUGAACUGAAAACUGCCAGGGAAUUUAAACAAGGGAAAUGGAAUUACUAACGGCAGCAUUUAGCUAAGUAAGACACGAAGGCUAAACCUCCUGUGAUCGUGGGAAAUAGUAUGAGAUAUUUAACAUCUGUAAGUGGUGGUGGCCUCUGCUUUUUGAUCCAUCUAAAAGACAGAUCAGGUGGGCAGGGGAUCACCAGGGGAGGGUUCCUGCUUCUCAUCAGCAUGGCUUCUUGCAGUUCUAGCGCUUCUCCAUAGCUUCCCUUCCAGCUCCGCAGACCUGCCUUGAAGUACCUUGGUUUCUAAGAUUCAGUGGCACAGUUCAAGCUUUUAUGGCACUGGGCUACUCUGCCCCUAAAUACGCAUGUUUUUUUCAAAUGCUUCAGUAAAAAUACUUUUGAACACAUUUGCUAAUUACAAAAGACAUUUCUAUUCAGAUGAUGGCUUUUCUUUUGGUGCUUUUCUUCACUCUUCUUAGCCACACGCAGUAAACUCUCAGAUCUGUCACCGGCUGUGGCAGGGAACAACACCUGGGAGUCUGACUUUGCUAGAGGAUCUGGCUGCAGAAACCAAGCUGAGAGGAGAAAGGCUCUGUAAGUCAGACAACAUCCGUAAGAGCCAAGGGAAUAGAGAGAAUGGCACAGCAUAAAAACAUUCAUUAUUUAUCAGUUGAUACCCAGGGAAAAAAAAACCUGUGCUGCCACUGCCUGGGAGCCUGUUCUUAGAAGUUAGGCACUGAAAUGGAGACAUGUAUGGCCUGAUGUCCCAGCCUGCCCUGCACGCUGUUGUAUUGUAACCAUCGCAGCUCAGGCUUCGGUACGGGCUGCAAAACCUAUGCAGGGACCCGGGAUGGCUUGCCCACGCUCAGCAGGUACCCGCCGUGCCGCGGAGUAGCGACCUUAGACUCUUUUUCCAGCCCGGUGUGGGGACAAAGUUUGAUGAACACCCAUCUGGCAGCGCUGCUGAAAGCCGUGGCCAUAGGGGAGCUAACGUGGUUUCUGUUAGGCUCGCCUCCAGCUGAACGGUUCCUGGUCGGCUUCACUGUGCGACUGCACAAAUCCUUGUGCCAGCGCAAACAAGGGGCCGUGAAAAGCCGGCACCACGGGCAGAGCGGAGGCUGCUUCUCUCGGCAGCUGCGCUAGCUCGGGCUGUCCUCAAACGCUGGUGGGACUCCUGCUCCAUGUAAACUUCGUGCAACCACAGCAAGCAUAAAACCCCGUGAGACAGUUAUUCAGACUCUCCUGAAGUUCUGCAUGGAUCCAGCCCACGUUUUGAAAAUCUGGAUCAGCUAUCCCUUGCGACUACAGUUUUUAAGGGAGUCAGUUUUUGUUUUUGAAGGGAGGCGCGAGGCCAAAAGGCAAGGUCAGAGACACUGAGAGACGGGGCUGGGGGUGGACAGGGUAGAGGAGGAUGGGUGUGGAGUGAAGGUGUCACUCUGACAUUUUCUCAGUGGCAAUGCCAGCCUAAAGCAUUCCCAGCUUCUGCUGCAGUCACGGUCUCCCCACCAUCCCUGCGGUCACUUUGUCACCCCUGAUUUGUGCCAGGAGGCCGUGCAAGAGGAAUUGAAGCAAAGAGCCCGUCAGCCCAGGGAAAGACUGUCCAGUAAAUGGCACAAGUGUGCUAGCAGGGUCCAUCAGUCCCUGCGCAAGCUGUUCCUGCUGCCUUCUGGCCGUGGUGUGUUCCUCCUCGUACCCCGCUCUGCUUAAUUUCUGUGCGCUGCAUGCUUUCUAAAUACUCACCCGGCUCUGUCUGGAGGAGAGUGCUUCACAGGAGAAUGGGCAUAGGACACCAAGUCAUCUCAUGCUGAGCACCACCAAGUCAUGACACCCUUGGACAAUCAAUCAACUGAUUUUGUGUUAUUUAUGUUGCCCUAAAGGCUACAUUUCAGGACUUGAAAUGUAUGGGUUAGAAAAGCUGACAACAACUCAUUCUGCUCAGGCUGUUUAAUAACGCUGCACAGGCCUUGUUUGAAAAGCUUACUUUCAAGAGAGGGAAUAUAUCCAACUUGCAGACCAGCUUCCUCCUCAAUUACAGUGAACAAAAAGUCUUCAAAAUAUUUAGAAUCUGAUUUAAGCUAACAAAGUCAAGGAAAUAGGAGUUAAAACUCAAACUCUUGCUUGACACACUAUUUGUAGUUCAUCCAAUGGUAAUGAGCCAGAUUCUCGCCUAGUAUAAGUGGGCAUAAAUCCACUAAAGCCAUGCAAGAAUGUUGAUUUAUGCUUGCUACAAAUCUGGCCUUUAUUGCAGUACUUCACUGUAAGCUCCAAUCCUCUUUGCACUGCUCAUUUAUUGGAACGGAAUUAGAUUUACCAAGGUAUGCUCGGACAAAAUGGAUUGCUUUUCCCUUAAAUAUUUUGUACCAGGAAUAAAAAGGUAGUCUAUUUCAACAUAAAACUAUUAAUAAGAUAUUCUUGCUGAAGGAAAUUCCAAAACAAUAAUAUCAUUUGUUACAAUGCCACGAGUUAUUUGUUUCUCAAGGUUAUAUCAAAUGAGUAUGAGAUGCUCUACAAAUUACAAGCUCCUUCUAGGAAAUCUGAGAUAAAUCUGAAGAAUAAAGGUUGAAACAAAUUUAACUUAAAUGCAAUUGCAUAAAAGCUUAAAUAUAGGCAGCUGAAUUAUUUGAUGAAAGUCUGUUGGAAUGAAUAUGCCCUCAUGUUUGCUUGACUGAAACUACAUUCCUCCAGAUGACCUCACUUUAUUGCCAAGUCCCUUCAAUGGGGCUCCACUCCUUCACUGAGGCUGAGCAUCGUGCAGGAUGCUGGAUGCAAGAAGAUAAUCAAGAAUUUAUUUUAUUAGUUUUAAAUAUAACACUCUCCAUUUUAGACUGUAUUAACUACAUGAUAAAUAUAGCUUAUCACUGUAAAGAGCCAUGCUGAGAAAACUGCAUGUGAGAUUACUCUACUGUAAAGUGCUCAAUAUGGGGGCUACACUCAGAAGACGGAGCUCACGUAGGAGGCAGCAGCCUGUUUGCUAAAUUCUGUUUCACAUAGGGAACAUCUUAUACUGGUGUUUUCAGCCUGCACUAGCUUUUGAUUAGUUUCCCGAUGAUGUCUGAAGUGGUGAGUUUUCACUGAAUUGUUUACAGCCUGGCCACCAGGCAAAGACUUCUCUAACGUGAGAGGACAGCCAUAGGGAUUUGCCAUCGAAACAUUAAGGUUGGUAUGAAUAAGGUGUGAAUGGCAACGUAUGAGUGUGAAUUCAUCAGGAAACAACAAGAAAGGAUAAAGGAACGGCAUGUGCAGGCACGCCGGGAUCAGGAGGUCAUUGAGAUCACAGCACACUGUGCGCAACUUCUCAGGACACUCAGAUCUGGAAAACCAAGAGCUGUCUAAGACAAAGCAUCAGGGCCCUGAGGGCACUAAUAGUCUUAAUGGCCCCGGUAAGUCUCAUCUGGGACCCCCACCCAUGCCCCCUGCCCAGGGGCUCCAUUUAAACCCAGGUGCGGGCACCUACUCCUGCUGUGAGCUGUGCUAUAGGUAUGGCUUUGUCUCCAGCCCUGUCUCCUGGAUGGACCUCAGACCACAUUGGAGGUAGCUUGUCUCCAGCCCUGUCUCCUGGAUGGAUGGACUUCAGACCUAUGCUGGGGUUACCUUUGUCUCCAGUCGUGUCUCCUGGACGGACCUCAGACCUACGCUGGAGGUAGCCUGUCUCCAGUCCUGUCUCCUGGAUGGACCGCAGACCUACUCUGGAGGUAGCUUGUCUCCAGCCCCAUCUCCUAGAUGGGUGGACCUCAGACCUAUGUUGCAGCCUUGGUUCAAGUCUCAUCUCUGGUCCUGGUUCCUGCUGCUCCUGGAUGGACCCUGGACCUGAUUCAUUGCUUUGCCUUGUCCGGGACUGCUGCCGGUCCCUGUUGUCAGUACCCAGCUCUGCCUGCUGUGCUCAGGGACGGCACCCUGACAGUGAGGGCACUGCCUGUGCUCUGCAUGGAGCAGCCUGGCCAGACUACGUGGCCAUACACGUCUCCAGCCUUGUGCAUAUGAAAGAAUGAGCAAGUACUGUCUACAAGAGAAAGCAUGAGUGAAAUCAGUUUAAAAUAAAAUCAUCUUCCUCA